RNAcentral lists this ribosomal RNA (327 nucleotides) under uncultured eukaryote. RNAcentral's name for it is "partial 18S ribosomal RNA". It matches the Rfam family "Eukaryotic small subunit ribosomal RNA", at positions 1470 to 1796 of the family's 1831-position model. The record is from RNAcentral.
CCCUUAGAUGUUCUGGGCUGCACGCGCGCUACACUGAUGCGUUCAUCGAGUUUACGCCCUGGCCCGGCAGGGUUGGGUAAUCUUUUGAAAACGCAUCGUGAUGGGGAUAGAUUAUUGCAAUUAUUAAUCUUCAACGAGGAAUUCCUAGUAAGCGCGAGUCAUCAGCUCGUGCUGAUUACGUCCCUGCCCUUUGUACACACCGCCCGUCGCUACUACUGAUUGGAUGGUUAAGCAAGAACUUCAAAUACUUGCAGUUUUGACUUCGGUUGAGACAGCGAGUUGAAGAAGAUCGAGCUUAUUUGUCUAGAGGAAGUAAAAGUCGUAACA